This 1319-nucleotide long non-coding RNA is filed under the name Anas platyrhynchos platyrhynchos (common mallard). RNAcentral describes it as "lncRNA (ENSAPLG00000018873.1)". Lineage: Eukaryota; Metazoa; Chordata; Aves; Anseriformes; Anatidae. The record is from RNAcentral.
AUGUUGUGUAGCCCGAACUACAGAUUCCCUCCCAGAGGUUCAGCGCCCGGAGUGCUUGCAGGCUUGGAGCCCUCUGAUGGCAGAGCACAGCCAGGCAGCUGCAGCAGCCUCUUGAAGGAAUUCCUCCUUGUGGUACAGGACCGAGACAACAGCAACGACAGGGACGGUUUCAGCAGUGUGUCGAAGCGACUUCAGCGAAGCUCUCUGCUUUCGCCAGCUCUGCUUUCAGCAGUUCUGCAUCGAUUUCAGCUUUGGGAAGGAUGCAGACAAGGACCUGUACAUGGGAACCGCUGUGUUUUGGCUGUUGGUGCCCCCCUUGUGCAUGGUAUGUGGCGAGGUGGGGAGCAGCAACGGGAUGCUCCUUACACAGCACCCAAGGAGGGCACUAAGGGGAGGUCCUGGGCUGAUUUAAAAAAAAAAGAAAUAAAAAGAAAUCCCCAAGCUCUCAUGGAACAGGUUGAGGUGCAGCAGUACAGAUAGCAGCAAAGCUGAUAAUGAAAGUUACAUUUCUUUGAAGCACAUUUGGGGUUUUUAUGUAGAUGUUGAAAUUGCUUUCUCUUCCGCACUGAGCCCGAUGCAGCCCAGCUCCUGCUUGCUUGCAGCGAUGUCCAAACAUGCCCUUAGUGCUGAGGACCAGGACAAGCGGUGUGCUCCUGGGGUCUCUGUCCUGCCCUCCAGUGACACUAAGCAGUGGUUUUAAUGAGGCUGCCUUUCAGCCCUGUUGUUCUUAAUCUGCAGGGGGCGAAAGUUGCUCCCAGACACCUUGGGCUGGUGAAAUGAGCAGGUUGGUGUGUGCUGGGGGUUGCUUCUCAUUCUGUUUUGACUGUCUGUGGCUUUCAGCUGCCCGAGGGUGGCUCAGCGAGCUGUGAGCUCCUCGCAGCGUUGUCCCUCCUGUGCUGUUCCUGGCAGUCUGGAGGGCACUGUUAGUGCUUGGGUUUUAUUUCUGAGGUGCGUAGCUCUCCCUCUGCAUUUCUGCAGGGAUAACAGCACCGUUUCCUCUGCAUGCUGUACUGGAAACACGGAUCUCACCGGUUUAAUAAGGACCUGCUGGCUCCUCUCACAUCGCGUGGCAGCAGUGCCUGUGUCCCCGCAGGGAUGUCCCACGGCGUGGCUGCUCUGCCUCCUCCCAGCCCUGCUGUAAGCUGCCAGGGACUUUAAGAAUUGUGCUUCCUCAGAGCAGAAAAGGGAUUUUAAGUUGCCUUCAUCAGGUUAGCAGCUCCAUACCAAAUCAUUUCCUGGCAGAUGUGAGCUGAUGUUGUUCAUGUUAGUAGCUGUGAUGGAGCCUCACUCACUCACUUACAGCUGGUGCUCGGUGCCCA